RNAcentral lists this transfer RNA (77 nucleotides) under Streptomyces clavuligerus. RNAcentral describes it as "tRNA-Arg". Lineage: Bacteria; Bacillati; Actinomycetota; Actinomycetes; Kitasatosporales; Streptomycetaceae. The record is from RNAcentral.
GGACGCGUCCCCCGGGGCCGGGCCGGACCUCCGCCCCGGCCCCGGAAGCCGGGUGCCCCGGGGCCGGGGCAGACGGG